AGAGGGUAGAAACCACUGAGAAGAAUCAGUUUGGGGCUAACACUGAUGUUAACCCUAAAGAGGAGUGUAAAGUUGUUGUUAUUAGGAGCAAAAGGAAAGUGGACAAGGAAGUUGUGGAAAUCGGGAGUAAUGAAGAUGAAGAAGAGGAAAAAGAAAUUAUUGAGUUAGACAGUAGUGAAGGUGAGGAAGAAGAGAAAGUAAGAGACAGUCACAA
Molecule: long non-coding RNA, 214 nt
Filed under: Vigna radiata
Lineage: Eukaryota; Viridiplantae; Streptophyta; Magnoliopsida; Fabales; Fabaceae
Description: long non-coding RNA (VRAD_LNC016125)
Source: RNAcentral